This 1013-nucleotide ribosomal RNA is filed under the name uncultured bacterium. RNAcentral's name for it is "bacterial SSU rRNA". It matches the Rfam family "Bacterial small subunit ribosomal RNA", at positions 8 to 1016 of the family's 1533-position model. The record is from RNAcentral.
AGAGUUUGAUCCUGGCUAAGGAUGAACGCUAGCUACAGGCUUAACACAUGCAAGUCGAGGGGCAGCACAGUGUAGCAAUACACGGGUGGCGACCGGCGCACGGGUGCGUAACGCGUAUCCAACCUUCCCGAUACUCAGGGAUAGCCUUCCGAAAGGGAGAUUAAUACCUGAUGGUGUUUCAAUUCCGCAUGUUAAUGAAACUAAAGAUUUAUCGGUAUCGGAUGGGGAUGCGUGACAUUAGAUAGUAGGCGGGGUAACGGCCCACCUAGUCUACGAUGUCUAGGGGUUCUGAGAGGAAGGUCCCCCACACUGGAACUGAGACACGGUCCAGACUCCUACGGGAGGCAGCAGUGAGGAAUAUUGGUCAAUGGUCGGAAGACUGAACCAGCCAAGUAGCGUGAAGGAUGAAGGUUCUAUGGAUUGUAAACUUCUUUUAUACGGGAAUAAAACCUCCCACGUGUGGGAGCUUGUAUGUACCGUAUGAAUAAGCAUCGGCUAACUCCGUGCCAGCAGCCGCGGUAAUACGGAGGAUGCGAGCGUUAUCCGGAUUUAUUGGGUUUAAAGGGAGCGUAGACGGGAUGUUAAGUCAGUUGUGAAAGGCUGCGGCUCAACCGCAGCACUGCAGUUGAUACUGGCGUCCUUGAGUGCGGUUGAGGUGUAUGGAAUUCGUGGUGUAGCGGUGAAAUGCUUAGAUAUCACGAAGAACUCCGAUUGCGAAGGCAGUACACUAAGCCGCUACUGACGUUGAGGCUCGAAAGUGUGGGUAUCAAACAGGAUUAGAUACCCUGGUAGUCCACACGGUAAACGAUGAAUACUCGCUGUUGGCGAUAUACAGUCAGCGGCCAAGCGAAAGCAUUAAGUAUUCCACCUGGGGAGUACGCCGGCAACGGUGAAACUCAAAGGAAUUGACGGGGGCCCGCACAAGCGGAGGAACAUGUGGUUUAAUUCGAUGAUACGCGAGGAACCUUACCCGGGCUUAAAUUGCACUGGACAGGCUCAGAGAUGGGCCCUUC